RNAcentral lists this long non-coding RNA (258 nucleotides) under Brassica napus (rape). Its description in RNAcentral is "long non-coding RNA (BNAP_LNC019321)". The record is from RNAcentral. Lineage: Eukaryota; Viridiplantae; Streptophyta; Magnoliopsida; Brassicales; Brassicaceae.
GUAAGACUCUCAAUCAUCUCUGCUUCUCCAUUUUAUUGUUCAUCUUCUUCUUCACCAGCAAUAUUUUGAAGGUUUAACAGAGAGAAAGAUCAUGGGAAUAUAUGGAAUGGUGACUGGAAAAGCGGGAAAGAGAUCAGCUUCAACAGCUGAAGAUGUCACUCAGUCCAUUGAUGAAAGAGUGGAUUUGGAUCAGCUUCAACAGCUGAAGAUGUCACUCAGUCCAUUGAUGCCAAUCAUCUCACUGCCAUCGUUACAGGU